CUCUCUCUCUCUCUCUCUCUCUCUCUCUUCCUCACUUACAUCAUCUCCAGAUCUGGUGCGGCCAACAGCCCCUGCCCUGCAUCUCUUCCCCAGCCAGGUACUCAUUUCUCUCAAAUAGAUAUUUAGGUUUUUUAUUUUAGAUCUGUAAAUCCACAGAUUAUCAGAGGAUACAAUAUUGGAAUUAGGGAUUUCCUAAACUCUGUCAUGGGAAAAGGAUUAGGGCUUUCCUAAAAAAUCACUUUUAUGGUUUAUUGGUUUGAUUUUCUUGAAGGAAUUGUAGGGCCCUACUCUGUAUGUUGCUGAAGCACAGGAUCUGUACAUGUGGAUCCCAUGGAUCAUUGGUCCAAACAGUGUUCCCUUUGGCUCCACCAUGAAUGAAGGAUGCCCUAGAAACCUCCCAGAUUAGAAAAUCAUAACUAUCUAAUAUGUGUUUUUUUUUCAUUGAAUGUGGAUGGUUGCUGCAUUUUUUCCCUUAACUAUUUUAGGCUACCAUAUUUAGAUGUUGGGAUCUUGCAAUCUGGAACGUUUCGUGGGCAUCCUCGAGCCUUGAUGGGGUUCCAUCAGAUCAAAGGUUUAGAUCGCUAAAACAUGGGCUCCACCACACACAUGGAAUCCUGAAUGUCAGCAGACCAUAUAUUUGCAGAUGAGCAGGACGAUGUAAUUCUUCCUCAGUCAAUCAGUUCCAAGGUUUAUUUAAGUUGGGUUAGGGUUCUCUAGUCUAUUUUUUGAGCUCAUGCUAAUUAAGAUAUUGGCUUUCGUGGGGGCCCAGUAAGCUUCUUUUUUCUUUUCUUCUUUUGGCAAGUUUGCAAAAGCCGUUGAAUGAAUUUGUAGUGUAGGUUUUGGUUACCAACCCAUGAAACCAGGAUAUGCUCUCCGGGAGGCCUUUUGUUAUCGAUAGGUACUCGUAGUGCUUCAAACAUUGAAGCAUCUUAAAAGUUUCUUCCCCUUUUUCAGAAAGUAAAAGAUUGCGGGUAUCUGGAAACAAAGAAUUGGGACACAGAAAAGCUGCUUCAGCAAAAGCUAAUCUUUUCACUUCAAACUGUGAGACCUUUACUGAAUCUGCAUCUUUAUCAGUAUCUUCAAUUGUCAACACUAAUAGCAAAAUUUGCUCCUGGUUUUGGUAUUGGGGCACUUGAGGAACUUGAUGUUCAAGAUGAGGAUAUAUAUGCUUCUGGUGAGUUUUUGAAACUGCCAUCACCAUUCGUCUAUCGACUAAUUAAUAGUACAAAAUAGAGGUUUAGAGAUUUCAUUAUGGUUAUUGCAGCACUUUUUAUGUCACCAUUUUGUCCUAAAUGGCAAAUGCUGAUGUUGACUAAGAGAUUGUAG
Magnolia sinica is the source of this 1326-nucleotide long non-coding RNA. RefSeq lists it as uncharacterized. Lineage: Eukaryota; Viridiplantae; Streptophyta; Magnoliopsida; Magnoliales; Magnoliaceae. The record is from RefSeq and is a predicted model, not a curated record. The transcript is spliced from 3 exons.